RNAcentral lists this ribosomal RNA (202 nucleotides) under uncultured bacterium. RNAcentral describes it as "partial 16S ribosomal RNA". It matches the Rfam family "Bacterial small subunit ribosomal RNA", at positions 524 to 724 of the family's 1533-position model. The record is from RNAcentral.
UACGUAGGGGGCAAGCGUUGUCCGGAUUUAUUGGGCGUAAAGAGCGUGUAGGCGGUUUGGUAGGUCCGUUGUGAAAACUCGAGGCUCAACCUCGAGACGCCGAUGGAAACCAUCAGACUAGAGUCCGGAAGGAGGAGACUGGAAUUCCUGGUGUAGCGGUGAAAUGCGCAGAUAUCAGGAGGAACACCGGUGGCGAAGGCGG